This 1372-nucleotide ribosomal RNA is filed under the name uncultured bacterium. Its description in RNAcentral is "bacterial SSU rRNA". It matches the Rfam family "Bacterial small subunit ribosomal RNA", at positions 28 to 1381 of the family's 1533-position model. The record is from RNAcentral.
GAUGAACGCUGGCGGCGUGCCUAAUACAUGCAAGUCGAGCGAACGGACGAGAAGCUUGCUUCUCUGAUGUUAGCGGCGGACGGGUGAGUAACACGUGGAUAACCUACCUAUAAGACUGGGAUAACUUCGGGAAACCGGAGCUAAUACCGGAUAAUAUUUCGAACCGCAUGGUUCAAAAGUGAAAGACGGUCUUGCUGUCACUUAUAGAUGGAUCCGCGCUGCAUUAGCUAGUUGGUAAGGUAACGGCUUACCAAGGCAACGAUGCAUAGCCGACCUGAGAGGGUGAUCGGCCACACUGGAACUGAGACACGGUCCAGACUCCUACGGGAGGCAGCAGUAGGGAAUCUUCCGCAAUGGGCGAAAGCCUGACGGAGCAACGCCGCGUGAGUGAUGAAGGUCUUCGGAUCGUAAAACUCUGUUAUUAGGGAAGAACAUAUGUGUAAGUAACUGUGCACAUCUUGACGGUACCUAAUCAGAAAGCCACGGCUAACUACGUGCCAGCAGCCGCGGUAAUACGUAGGUGGCAAGCGUUAUCCGGAAUUAUUGGGCGUAAAGCGCGCGUAGGCGGUUUUUUAAGUCUGAUGUGAAAGCCCACGGCUCAACCGUGGAGGGUCAUUGGAAACUGGAAAACUUGAGUGCAGAAGAGGAAAGUGGAAUUCCAUGUGUAGCGGUGAAAUGCGCAGAGAUAUGGAGGAACACCAGUGGCGAAGGCGACUUUCUGGUCUGUAACUGACGCUGAUGUGCGAAAGCGUGGGGAUCAAACAGGAUUAGAUACCCUGGUAGUCCACGCCGUAAACGAUGAGUGCUAAGUGUUAGGGGGUUUCCGCCCCUUAGUGCUGCAGCUAACGCAUUAAGCACUCCGCCUGGGGAGUACGACCGCAAGGUUGAAACUCAAAGGAAUUGACGGGGACCCGCACAAGCGGUGGAGCAUGUGGUUUAAUUCGAAGCAACGCGAAGAACCUUACCAAAUCUUGACAUCCUUUGACAACUCUAGAGAUAGAGCCUUCCCCUUCGGGGGACAAAGUGACAGGUGGUGCAUGGUUGUCGUCAGCUCGUGUCGUGAGAUGUUGGGUUAAGUCCCGCAACGAGCGCAGCCCUUAAGCUUAGUUGCCAUCAUUAAGUUGGGCACUCUAAGUUGACUGCCGGUGACAAACCGGAGGAAGGUGGGGAUGACGUCAAAUCAUCAUGCCCCUUAUGAUUUGGGCUACACACGUGCUACAAUGGACAAUACAAAGGGCAGCGAAACCGCGAGGUCAAGCAAAUCCCAUAAAGUUGUUCUCAGUUCGGAUUGUAGUCUGCAACUCGACUACAUGAAGCUGGAAUCGCUAGUAAUCGUAGAUCAGCAUGCUGCGGUGAAUACGUUCCCGGGUCU